UACGGGGGGAGCAAGCGUUGUUCGGAUUUACUGGGCGUAAAGGGCGCGUAGGCGGCCACCGCAAGUCAGUUGUGAAAGCUCUGGGCUUAACCCAGAAAGGUCAACUGAUACUGCGGGGCUAGAGUGCAGAAGGGGCAACUGGAAUUCUCGGUGUAGCGGUGAAAUGCGUAGAUAUCGAGAGGAACACCUGCGGCGAAGGCGGGUUGCUGGGCUGACACUGACGCUGAAGUGCGAAAGCUAGGGGAGCGAACAGG
This 254-nucleotide ribosomal RNA is filed under the name uncultured bacterium. RNAcentral's name for it is "partial 16S ribosomal RNA". It matches the Rfam family "Bacterial small subunit ribosomal RNA", at positions 524 to 776 of the family's 1533-position model. The record is from RNAcentral.